AAAAUCCAGGACUCGCACGCACGAGCGAGACUGCCCUCGAGGGGAGGCCCCCAGAUCCCUUCGCCGCCAGAUCCCUCCUCCCAUCGCCUGCCCUCCUCGCGAUCCUCCCGACGUCCUCGCGCCACCGUCCUCUUCUUCUCUGCGACUCCUCUGUGCCCCAUGCCCUGACCGACGCCGGCGAGUCCUCGUCACUCCACGUGCGCCUCGCAUCCAACGCCGGGGAGGAUCGCGUGACUCCGCCCGCGUCGUCGCCUCCGACGCCGGCCUCUCCUUCACCACCGCCCCUGCCGGCAGGGUCCCCCUCGUCAUGGCCUUCCUCUCGCCUGGGUGUACAUCGCCAGCCGGCCAUAUGGCAGGACGCGCAGACCCGGGCGAUCCUCUCCGGCCUCCUUGAGAAGAGCACCGGCAAUGUGUGAAUCUCUCAACCCCCUUUCUCCGCCCACCUCUCGUUUUUUCUCAAUUUUAUUCCUGAUGGAGGCGCUGUAACCCUUCCCGCCACAGCCUAAUGUGGGCUGCAUGCCUUAGCAUGUGCCUGAUCUUUACAGAGUUUGAGGGCAGCUACUAGACUUCAUGAUUUGGCAAAUACUCCCUCCGUCCCAUAAUAUAAGAGUAAACGCUCUUAUAUUAUGGGACGGAGGGAGUAUAUAUUUAAGGGUGAAUAAGGACAUUUAAUCAUUUCAUAUACCAUGAACAGCAUAGUUGAUACAUUUUCCUUUUGUUGAUCAUUUGCUUGAUGCUUGUUCUGUGGAUUGGAAUUUGUUCUCAAAGAAAGAGACACUGAUCGCUGGCGAAACAUAUGACCAAGAGUCCCCGGGACCUACAUCAUCGAGUAAUAACCAGCCUCAAUCACUUGCCCAGGCUGCUCCAGCAGUAGUGAGGAUGCCUUGCAGUAUGAUACUUGAUACCAUGCUAACAGAACUGUUUUUACCGAAGGUUGAAUAACGCCGGAAAAUAUAUGGUGGUAGCAAGGUCUGCGUCACUGUCUUUUUAGCACUCCUAUGCUAAUCUACCCGUGCAUCCAUAUCUGGAGUCCUCUUCAUAUGAUGAUGCAGAAGAGCAGACUGCUGCUAUUGAAGCCAAAGGUGCUUGGAAAACACAGCUAAUACAGAGAUCUGAGACUACAAUUAAAACCAUAGGAGGCGCCUCCAGAACCAGAAUGAGUAGCUCAUGCACCUACUCAACAUAGUGAAUGUGAGCUGCUCAUUCUGGUUUUAGAUGCGCUUCCUAUGGUUAAUCUUGAAGACCUUGAAUGGGGGUGGAGGCUGGAUUGCGAGCCAGAUGCCCCAUCAACAGGGGCGGUAAAGGAGAAGAAGAUAGUUGUGGAGGCUGGAUUGCGAGCCAGAUGCCCCAUCAACAGGGGCGGUAAAGGAGAAGAAGAUAGUUGUUUAACGGUACAGUGACUUUGCUCAAGUGACAUACCAGACCCAUCUUGUUAAUCUUCAUUAUCUUCGCCGAAGAAGGAAAAAUAAAAUUGAUAACCUCAUCAGGCAGUGAAGAUUGCAUGGCCAGUCUCUGUUUUGUGCAUGCUAGGUGAGCAUCAUGAACUGUUAUACUUGCCUUACGAGUAUUUUUCCUUUAAUCAGAUGCUCACAUAUAUUUCUGUGAAUAAAUAGAUCUUUUCAUUUUCUUGUUGGGAAAAAAGACCAUGUAAUCCUUCCCGCCACAGCCUAAUGUGGGUUGCAUGCCUUAGCAUGUGCCUGAUCCUUAUAGAGUUUGAGGGCAGCUACUAGACUUAAUGAUUUGGCAAAUAUAUAUUUAAGGGUGAAUAAGGACAUUUAAAUCAUUUCUUAUACCAUGAACAUCAUAAAAAGCAGAUUGGGCAUGUGGAGAUAUGUAAGCGUACAUAGUUGAUACAUUUUCCUUUUGUUGAUCAUUUGCUUGAUGCUUGUUCUGCGGAUUGGAGUUUGUUCUCAAAGAAAGAGAACUGAUCCCUGGCGAAACAUAUGACCAAGAGUCCCCAGGACCUACAUCAUCGACUAAUAACUAGCAUCAAACAGCUGCCCAUGUCAGCUAUCUUUCUCAAACCAGUAUUUUUUGGUUCGAUCAUUCGCCACAUCAUGUGACAUCGCAUGGGGCAUCAGUAGCGACCCACACACUGGCGCAAGGAUGUGAAGAUGGGGACAUCAAGUGCAUACCAGACAGAAGACCUCACCUCAUUUCUCCAAACUGUCUGAGCAGUGUGCAAGAAAGCUGAAGACAUUUGAAGAAAGCAUUGUCGGAUAUGUGGUAUCCUGAUCCUCUUACUUGGGACUGGGAUAAGGAGGCACAACAUUUAAUAGGUUACUGAAGAUUUGCGAUGGUGAAAAAUGCCAAUGUCAGCUAGGUAAAGCGAAGGAUGUUUUCCCCACCAUGGAUAUCUUAUUAUGUCAACCUGCUCUUGGUAAGUACAGUAUGAACUGCCAAAAUUUCAAUGGUACAUGAGUCGAUAAAUUUGGCAUGAUGGUGAAUAUGUUAUCAUCGCACUGAAAAAGUAUAUGCUAUGAUGUAUCUUGAUCAAUCUUCAAUACCAUUUGGGGUAAACGCUCGUGUAGAUAAUCAUGUCUCUUUGAAAUUAUUUGUAUGUAAAUAGUCUUGUGUUAUGUUGUACCUUUGCUGCUCCUGAAGACCUUAGUGUAAAUAGUCAUAGAGAUAAUUAUGUCUAUUUUAAUUUAUUAGAAAGUAAUGAAAUUCUAUGUUCAUGCCAUUUCUCUUUUUUUUUUCCUUCAUGAGAAAAACUCACUGAAGGGAGGAUCGCAUUAUAUAGCAUGGCUAGAGAUGAACUCGGACUCGCAACUUCACCACCAUUUCCGAAUGGAAGUUUGUCGGGAAGUCAAAGUCAUGCGCUAGGUCGAGAGGAGGGGAGGCAUCUGGCAGAGAGAAAGGUUAUCUCAGUGUGGCAUCGAGGUCUUGAGAGAAUGUUUGUUUAACUACCGUAGUUUCAAGUCCUUUUCUACUCUAUACCUUUGAAGAGACGACAAUGCUACAUGCUGCUUUGUCUUUUUCAAGAGUGGGUGGUUAAGGAGGCAUAUGGACUCUCAAGGAAAUAAGUGGGGGAGAGAAUUGAUAUUUGUAGCUAUAUGAAUAGAUAUUACAGGCGUCAUGUUUGACAUAUAUUUUCUGAAUUACGAGUGCUUAUAUUUUUCAGUUAUGCUGUGCCAAGGCACGAGCACUUAGCUAGCAGCAUUCAGCAUACAUGUAUAUUUUUUAAUAUAUGUUUAUAUGUUAACUUUUGUUGGUCUGAGAUAAAAUUGGUGGCUUCGGAUGAUGCUUUGAAAGUGUCCAUUGACAAAGUCACUGACAUAACUAUGAUGGACGGGACUCAAAACUCGUCGAGUUUUACACAAUAAGAUGCAUACACAUAAUUGUUCUUCCUUGUACAUAUGUUGCACAUGAUAAUACAAAAGGUUUAUUUCUAUGUAUGUUUAUUUUUGCAGAGUAUCAAAGAGAUGGAGAGGUAUUAUGUCGAUGUUCAAAAGAGUCCCAAGGCAAUGUCAUUGGAAGGGGCCAAAAAAUUUCCGAGCUUUAUACAACAAUAUUGGAUAUGCAAGCAGAAAAAAAAGGCUAAGACCCACUUUGGUUCAUAGGAAUAUAAAACUUGUAGGAAAUGAGAUGUCAUGUAUCUCAAAUCCUAUGAAUAGUAAUAGAAAAAGAGAUGUCCUUUCAUUCAUAUCAUUUGAUUUUUCUAUUGAGUCUAGGUAAAUAUUAUUUUCAUAUGAAAUGUGAAGGAUAGAAAGAAUUUGUUCCAUAGGAAUAUGAUUCUAUUCCUACAAACCAAAGGAACAUUUUUUUCUAUAGAAAUCAUACAAAAUUUCUUCAAA
Aegilops tauschii subsp. strangulata is the source of this 3797-nucleotide long non-coding RNA. RefSeq lists it as uncharacterized. Lineage: Eukaryota; Viridiplantae; Streptophyta; Magnoliopsida; Poales; Poaceae. The record is from RefSeq and is a predicted model, not a curated record.